This 483-nucleotide ribosomal RNA is filed under the name uncultured bacterium. RNAcentral's name for it is "partial 16S ribosomal RNA". It matches the Rfam family "Bacterial small subunit ribosomal RNA", at positions 30 to 507 of the family's 1533-position model. The record is from RNAcentral.
AUUGAACGCUGGCGGCAGGCCUAACACAUGCAAGUCGAGCGGAUGAAGGGAGCUUGCUCCUGGAUUCAGCGGCGGACGGGUGAGUAAUGCCUAGGAAUCUGCCUGGUAGUGGGGGAUAACGUCCGGAAACGGGCGCUAAUACCGCAUACGUCCUGAGGGAGAAAGUGGGGGAUCUUCGGACCUCACGCUAUCAGAUGAGCCUAGGUCGGAUUAGCUAGUUGGUGGGUAAAGGCCUACCAAGGCGACGAUCCGUAACUGGUCUGAGAGGAUGAUCAGUCACACUGGAACUGAGACACGGUCCAGACUCCUACGGGAGGCAGCAGUGGGGAAUAUUGGACAAUGGGCGAAAGCCUGAUCCAGCCAUGCCGCGUGUGUGAAGAAGGUCUUCGGAUUGUAAAGCACUUUAAGUUGGGAGGAAGGGCAGUAAGUUAAUACCUUGCUGUUUUGACGUUACCAACAGAAUAAGCACCGGCUGACUUCGUG